RNAcentral lists this ribosomal RNA (717 nucleotides) under uncultured fungus. RNAcentral's name for it is "SSU rRNA". It matches the Rfam family "Eukaryotic small subunit ribosomal RNA", at positions 330 to 1049 of the family's 1831-position model. Lineage: Eukaryota; Fungi. The record is from RNAcentral.
AGGAUAGAGGCCUACCAUGGUUUUAACGGGUAACGGGGAUUUAGGGUUCGAUUCCGGAGAGGGAGCCUGAGAAACGGCUACCACAUCCAAGGAAGGCAGCAGGCGCGCAAAUUACCCAAUCCCGACACGGGGAGGUAGUGGCAAUAAAUAACAAUACGGGGCUCAUUUGGGUCUCGUAAUUGGAAUGAGUACAAUUUAAAUCUCUUAACGAGGAACAAUUGGAGGGCAAGUCUGGUGCCAGCAGCCGCGGUAAUUCCAGCUCCAAUAGCGUAUAUUAAAGUUGUUGCAGUUAAAAAGCUCGUAGUUGAACUUCGGGGUUUACCCAUUGGUCAGGCUUAAUUGUCUGUACUGGUGAGAUAAAUCUCUACCUUCUGAGGAACUUUCAUGUCAUUAAUUUGGUGUGAUUGGAAAUCAGGACUGUUACUUUGAAAAAAUUAGAGUGUUUAAAGCAGGCUAACGUCUGAAUACAUUAGCAUGGAAUAAUGAAAUAGGACGGAUUGAUUCUAUUUCGUUGGUUUCUAGGAUCACCGUAAUGAUUAAUAGGGAUAGUUGGGGGCAUUAGUAUUCAAUUGUCAGAGGUGAAAUUCUUGGAUUUAUUGAAGACUAACUACUGCGAAAGCAUUUGCCAAGGAUGUUUUCAUUAAUCAAGAACGAAAGUUAGGGGAUCGAAGACGAUCAGAUACCGUCGUAGUCUUAACCAUAAACUAUGCCGACUAG